AGUGAACGUUGGCGGCGUGGAUUAGGCAUGCAAGUCGAGCGAGAACCGUAGCAAUACGGGGACAGCGGCGAAAGGGACAGUAAUGUGUAGGUACCUACCUCCGGGUUCGGGAUAGCUGCGGGAAACUGCAGGUAAUACCGAAUAACGUCUCCGGACCAAAGGUGUGAUUCCACCUGGAGAGGGGCCUGCAUCCUAUUAGCUUGUUGGCGGGGUAACGGCCCACCAAGGCGACGAUGGGUAGCGGGUGUGAGAGCACGACCCGCGUCAUUGGACUGAGACACUGCCCAGACACCUACGGGUGGCUGCAGUCGAGGAUCUUCGGCAAUGGGCGCAAGCCUGACCGAGCGACGCCGCGUACGGGAUGAAGGCCUUCGGGUUGUAAACCGCUGUCGUAGAGGAGGAAGUGCAGGGGGGUUCUCCCCUCUGUUUGACCUAUUCUAGGAGGAAGAACGGGCUAAGUUCGUGCCAGCCGCCGCGGUAA
This 481-nucleotide ribosomal RNA is filed under the name uncultured bacterium. RNAcentral's name for it is "partial 16S ribosomal RNA". It matches the Rfam family "Bacterial small subunit ribosomal RNA", at positions 28 to 523 of the family's 1533-position model. The record is from RNAcentral.